This 2946-nucleotide ribosomal RNA is filed under the name Triticum aestivum (bread wheat). Its description in RNAcentral is "partial small subunit ribosomal RNA". The record is from RNAcentral. Lineage: Eukaryota; Viridiplantae; Streptophyta; Magnoliopsida; Poales; Poaceae.
AUGGACGCCGUCGCCGAGGAUGCCCUGGCAUCUAGUACCAAUAUUCAUCAGAUUCAGGAGGGUGACCUCGGGAGGGUCGGGCCGAAAGGCGACCAUGGCAUGGUGGCCCAUCUCCCGGGGCUAUACUACACCGGCCAACCUCUUCUCCCAGCUGCCACGUUCAGGAUUUUCCGUGUCGACGGCACAAUGGAGACCGCAGAGGCACGCGACAUCACCAUCAUAGACAGGGGCUACUUCCGCAGUGGCCAGUUCGUCGUGUCGGCGUCAGAUAUUCAUGGUCGGGUCGGCGUCGUCACGGAAUCCAACACCACGCUCGACCUCGUGAAGCUCGUCGGCCACGGGGAGCCACCGGUCAUGGCGAUGACCGGGGUGGCGCCGGGAUGCCUGCGGCGCGUCCGGGAGCUCUGCCUCGGCGACUUUGUCGUGUCCGGGCCGUGGCUCGGACGGGUUGUCAAGGUGCCCCUCGAGCUCGACGUGGUGUUUGACGACGGCGCCCUCUGCAGGGUCAUCGGCGGCACGCCGUUGACGAAGCUAUGCCCAGUCGUGGCCACAAACAAACGCAUUUUUCGCGACCGGAUGAAAUCGAGCUUCUACCCGGGCCUGCGUGUCACCUCGCCGGCGGACGGCUUCAAGUACUGUCGGUGGCUUCGUGGAUACUGGAAGCCCAGCCGCAAAGUGGGCACCAUCGCCAAGGUUCUGAUCAUGGGAGCUCUCGUCCACUGGAUCGCCUCUGCGCACCACGGCGCCGACCCGCGGCUAGUCCAGGAGUCCGCUCCUCCCGCCUACCAGGAUCCUGCCGAUUUGACCUUCUUCUGCUCCGCCUACGAUUGCUACUGGGGCGUCGGGGAUCGCUGCUUCCUUCGAGACACACAAGAACAAGGACCCAAGGAGGAGAACACGAUGCACCACCGGAAGCUCCUCCACCUGGAUGGGCGUAGGCGGACGCGGCAGAGGCAGCCGGCGGAGAUCGAGCAACCCAUGAGCGUCGCCAGCACCCGCACCACCGUCGACGUGCUCUGGCAGGACGGCACGAGGCAGAGUGGGGUGCCGUCCACUUGUCUUCUCCCCUACCAGAUGACGAGCGAGCACGAGUUCUUCCCGGGGUUCUACGUUGUCGACGGCGUGGCGCCCGGUGCUAACGCCGCAGCCGAUGAUGUACCCGUCGUAGACAAUGCUACUGGUGCACAGACUACUGAGACCAGGCGCGUCGGCACUGUCCGAUGCGUGAACUCCGAGGACCAGACAGUAGGCGUGUCAUGGUUCAAAGAGUCGUCGAGCCCCGACGAGGCCACAGAGAUCGACACCGUGAGCGCCUACGACUUGGCAUUGCAACCAGGUCCCCAUGCUUUCUAUGGACAUGUCGUCAUACGCCGGCCACCGUCGGGAUAUCCUGAUGCCAGCGAGGUUAGAGCAGCAGCCGAUCUUUCUUGGGUCGGCCAUGUUGUCGACCUUGUUGAUGGGCGUGUCCAAGUCAAGUGGGCCGACAGCACCGUGUCAAUGGUGGUGCCCGAUGAGAUUAGAAUCGUCACUGAGCUGUACUACUGGGAACUAGAGGCUGAAAUGGUCGGUGACGGCGACGACUGGGUGGAGGUUAACAGCGUCGACCAUGAGCAUGAAGAUGAGGAUUCGGCUAAUAGUCUGUACAAUGAAAAAGAAAACCCACCUGAAGGUAGCAACGUCCAGGGUGACAUUGAUUCAGCAAAUGAGGAGGACAACGAUUCGGUGGAUGAAGAUGAAAGUGCAGCAACAAAAGCAAGCCGGAAGGUUGCUAUCAUCCAGUAUAUGUCCCAACUGGCACGCCAAGUGUUGGCUCAAACUAUGAGAUAUUUUGGCAAUAGGUUGUUGUCGUCGUCACUUGGUUCGGAAUUAGCUGGAGGGACGGCCAAUGAGGGAGCUCAUGUGGCUGUACCUGAUGGUCAUCACAGUACAAGCAAUCAUGAUGCGAUUCACGCCAUACCGGCUGCACUAACCAGCAACGACACAUGUGCUGAUGAUGAUGGCUGUGCCGAGAAGGUCAAAAAUAUUGAACACCCCACCGGUGAUGAAGAUCAGUUUCACUUCCCAUAUUUUGAUGUUACGCAUAGCCCUCUUGAUCACCAUUACAUCGACAACGUGGGGCAGGGCCCUAGUGGUGGAAAGAGGUGGGUCAAAGCAGUGCAAAAGGAAUGGAAAAUACUGGAGAACAACAACUUGCCAGACACCAUAUAUGUGCGAGUGUUCGAGGAUCGCAUGGACCUGCUCAGGGCCGUGAUAGUUGGUGCGAGCGGGACACCCUACCACGACGGGAUCUUCUUCUUCGACCUGCACCUGCCGCCAUCGUAUCCUGAUGUGCCUCCGAUGGUGUACUACCACUCAUUCGGUCUCCGCCUCAACCCCAACCUCUACAACUCUGGCACAGUGUGCCUCAGCCUUCUCAACACCUUUGGUGGAGAGGCAUCUGAAGUCUGGUCACCAGCUACAUCCAGUCUCCUGCAGGUCGCCGUCUCUAUCCAGGGUCUAAUACUCAACGACCAACCAUACUACAAUGAGGCCGGUUAUCAAAGCCUAGUCUACAAGCCAGAGGGAUGCCGCAAUGCAUUGCCAUACAAUGAAAAUGCUUACUUGCUCACCCUUCGGACCAUGCUCCACCUGUUGCGACGGCCGCCAAGUGGAUUUGAGGGAUUCGUCAAGGAUCACUUCUGCCGCCGGGGGAGGUUCAUUCUUCGAGCAUGUGAGGCAUACCUAAGAGGGUGUGUAGUUGGCAUGCUCGAUGGUGAUUCAUGCGCCACCAAAGGAAGUAAGGAGGAUAGAUCAUGCUCGACCGGGUUAAGACUGGCGCUUUCCAACGUGUUGCCAAAGCUCGUGGCAGCACUAGCAGAGAUUGGCGCCGAGGGGUGUGAGUGUGACAAGUUCCACGAGCUGCAUGACCUGCUUAUCGGCGGCGAUGGAGUGCAACGUGCUUACUAG